RNAcentral lists this transfer RNA (73 nucleotides) under Rickettsiales bacterium. Its description in RNAcentral is "tRNA-Phe". It matches the Rfam family "tRNA". Rfam says of the family: Transfer RNA (tRNA) molecules are approximately 80 nucleotides in length. Their secondary structure includes four short double-helical elements and three loops (D, anti-codon, and T loops). The record is from RNAcentral. Lineage: Bacteria; Pseudomonadati; Pseudomonadota; Alphaproteobacteria; Rickettsiales.
AUCCAAGUAGCUCAGUUGGUAGAGCGUGGGGUUGAAGGUCCUAAGGCCAGUGGUUCGAAUCCACUCUUGGGUA